GUUGAGUCUGAAUCAUACCUCAAUUUCAUUUACCUCACUAAUUCAGAUAUGAUAAGAGUACUAACUAACAUUACUAAAAGGAGUAAAGUGCGACUAGUAUAUUUAUAUCAACAAAUUGACAAUUUUAAUAUAAAACAUCACAAGGAAAAUAUGACCACUCAUUGAACGUCAAACUGUGUUUGAUUUUACUUUAGUCGGCCG
RNAcentral lists this long non-coding RNA (201 nucleotides) under Mytilus galloprovincialis (Mediterranean mussel). Lineage: Eukaryota; Metazoa; Mollusca; Bivalvia; Mytilida; Mytilidae. The record is from RNAcentral.